Molecule: ribosomal RNA, 163 nt
Filed under: uncultured bacterium
Lineage: Bacteria
Description: partial 16S rRNA
Rfam family: Bacterial small subunit ribosomal RNA
Source: RNAcentral
UAGGGAAUCUUCCGCAAUGGGCGCAAGCCUGAUGGAGCAACACCGCGUGAGUGAAGAAGGGUUUCGGCUCGAAAGCUCUGUUGUUAAAGAAGAACACGUAUGAGAGUAACUGUUCAUACGUUGACGGUAUUUAACCAGAAAGUCACGGCUAACUACGUGCCAC